This 440-nucleotide ribosomal RNA is filed under the name uncultured bacterium. RNAcentral's name for it is "partial 16S ribosomal RNA". It matches the Rfam family "Bacterial small subunit ribosomal RNA", at positions 338 to 795 of the family's 1533-position model. The record is from RNAcentral.
UCUACGGGAGGCAGCAGUAGGGAAUAUUGCUCAAUGGGGGAAACCCUGACGCAGCAACGCCGCGUGGAGGAUGAAGGUUUUCGGAUUGUAAACUCCUUUUGUUAGAGAAGAUAAUGACGGUAUGUAACUAAUAAGAACCUGCUAACUCCGUGCCAGAAGCAGCGGUAAUACGGAGGGUGCAAGCGUUACACGGAAUCACUGGGCGUAAAGCGCGCGUAGGCGGGAUAGCAAGUCAGAUGUGAAAGCCUAUGGCUGAACCAUAGAACUGCAUUGGAAACUGUUAUUCUAGAGUAUGGGAGAGGUAGGUGGAAUUCUUGGUGUAGGGGUAAAAUCCGUAGAGAGCAAGAGGAAUACUCAUUGCGAAGGCGACCUGCUAGAACAUAACUGACGCUGAUGCGCGAAAGCGUGGGGAGCAAACAGGAUUAGAUACCCUAGUAGUC